AUUGAACGCUGGCGGCAGGCUUAACACAUGCAAGUCGAGCGGGGGAAGGUAGCUUGCUACCGGACCUAGCGGCGGACGGGUGAGUAAUGCUUAGGAAUCUGCCUAUUAGUGGGGGACAACAUCUCGAAAGGGAUGCUAAUACCGCAUACGUCCUACGGGAGAAAGCAGGGGAUCUUCGGACCUUGCGCUAAUAGAUGAGCCUAAGUCGGAUUAGCUAGUUGGUGGGGUAAAGGCCUACCAAGGCGACGAUCUGUAGCGGGUCUGAGAGGAUGAUCCGCCAGACUGGGACUGAGACACGGCCCAGACUCCUACGGGAGGCAGCAGUGGGGAAUUUUGGACAAUGGGGGAACCCUGAUCCAGCCAUGCCGCGUGUGUGAAGAAGGCUUUAUGGUUGUAAAGCACUUUAAGCGAGGAGGAGGCUACUUUAGUUAAUACCUAGAGAUAGUGGACGUUACUCGCAGAAUAAGCACCGGCUAACUCUGUGCCAGCCGCCGCGGUAA
RNAcentral lists this ribosomal RNA (500 nucleotides) under uncultured bacterium. Its description in RNAcentral is "partial 16S ribosomal RNA". It matches the Rfam family "Bacterial small subunit ribosomal RNA", at positions 30 to 523 of the family's 1533-position model. The record is from RNAcentral.